UUUGGUUUGCUUGCAAACCAAAGCUGGCGACCGGCGCACGGGUGAGUAACACGUAUCCAACCUGCCUCAUACUCGGGGAUAGCCUUUCGAAAGAAAGAUUAAUAUCCGAUAGCAUAUAUUUCCCGCAUGGGUUUUAUAUUAAAGAAAUUCGGUAUGAGAUGGGGAUGCGUUCCAUUAGUUUGUUGGGGGGGUAACGGCCCACCAAGACUACGAUGGAUAGGGGUUCUGAGAGGAAGGUCCCCCACAUUGGAACUGAGACACGGUCCAAACUCCUACGGGAGGCAGCAGUGAGGAAUAUUGGUCAAUGGACGCGAGUCUGAACCAGCCAAGUAGCGUGAAGGAUGACUGCCCUAUGGGUUGUAAACUUCUUUUAUAUGGGAAUAAAGUGGUCCACGUGUGGACUUUUGUAUGUACCAUAUGAAUAAGGAUCGGCUAACUCCGUGCCAGCAGCCGCGGUAAUACGGAGGAUCCGAGCGUUAUCCGGAUUUAUUGGGUUUAAAGGGAGCGUAGGCGGAUUGUUAAGUCAGUUGUGAAAGUUUGCGGCUCAACCGUAAAAUUGCAGUUGAUACUGGCAGUCUUGAGUGCAGUAGAGGUGGGCGGAAUUCGUGGUGUAGCGGUGAAAUGCUUAGAUAUCACGAAGAACUCCGAUUGCGAAGGCAGCUCACUGGAGUGUAACUGACGCUGAUGCUCGAAAGUGUGGGUAUCAAACAGGAUUAGAUACCCUGGUAGUCCACACAGUAAACGAUGAAUACUCGCUGUUUGCGAU
RNAcentral lists this ribosomal RNA (766 nucleotides) under Bacteroides caccae. RNAcentral's name for it is "bacterial SSU rRNA". It matches the Rfam family "Bacterial small subunit ribosomal RNA", at positions 70 to 830 of the family's 1533-position model. The record is from RNAcentral. Lineage: Bacteria; Pseudomonadati; Bacteroidota; Bacteroidia; Bacteroidales; Bacteroidaceae.